RNAcentral lists this ribosomal RNA (253 nucleotides) under uncultured bacterium. RNAcentral describes it as "partial 16S ribosomal RNA". It matches the Rfam family "Bacterial small subunit ribosomal RNA", at positions 524 to 776 of the family's 1533-position model. The record is from RNAcentral.
UACAGAGGGUGCAAGCGUUGUUCGGAAUUACUGGGCGUAAAGCGUGCGUAGGUGGUCUUUUAAGUCCGUUGUGAAAGCCCUGGGCUCAACCUGGGAAUGGCAGUGGAUACUGGAAGGCUGGAGUACGGUAGAGGAGGGUGGAAUUCCCGGUGUAGCGGUGAAAUGCGUAGAGAUCGGGAGGAACAUCAGUGGCGAAGGCGGCUCUCUGGGACGGUACUGACGCUGAGACGCGAAAGCGUGGGGAGCGAACAGG